RNAcentral lists this ribosomal RNA (325 nucleotides) under uncultured eukaryote. RNAcentral's name for it is "partial 18S ribosomal RNA". It matches the Rfam family "Eukaryotic small subunit ribosomal RNA", at positions 1470 to 1796 of the family's 1831-position model. The record is from RNAcentral.
CCCUUAGAUGUUCUGGGCCGCACGCGCGCUACACUGAUGCAUUCAACGAGCCUAUCCUUGACCGACAGGUCCGGGUAAUCUUUGAAUCUGCAUCGUGACGGGGAUAGAUUAUUGCAAUUAUUAAUCUUCAACGAGGAAUGCCUAGUAGGCGCAAGUCAUCAGCUUGCGUCGAUUACGUCCCUGCCCUUUGUACACACCGCCCGUCGCUCCUACCGAUUGGGUGUGCUGGUGAAAUGUUCGGAUCGGCCGUUUGUCGCGGUUUCCGCGUCAUGUGGCUGAGAAGUUAAUUAAACCCUACCACCUAGAGGAAGGAGAAGUCGUAACA